AUGAGCACCAUAUCUUCUUUUGCUUUAACGAUUAUGCACAGAUAUCUUAGAUUGCUGGAAAAAAGUCAAAAACCGUUUCGACAAUGAUUGAGGUUUUCAGCAUUGUGGAAACAGACAAUCAUACACAAUGGUCCUCCUACCCCAGCUCAUCCCAAAAGAUGGCACGGAAGUUGGUUCCUGCUGGCUCUGCAACUCCUCCAUUCUCCCUGCUCUUCCCUUUCUGAAGGGGUGAUCAGAAUGGAUGUGGGUUUCUGGCAUCCGGCUUAAUUUCCUGAGAAAGCCAUUUCCAAGUCAUAGAGAAGUUCACUGUAGUCCUUGGAGUUAUGAUGGAAAAAGGAUGAAAU
Long non-coding RNA from Cavia porcellus (domestic guinea pig), 344 nucleotides. RefSeq lists it as uncharacterized. NCBI's taxonomy places the organism in Eukaryota, Metazoa, Chordata, Mammalia, Rodentia, Caviidae. The record is from RefSeq and is a predicted model, not a curated record. The transcript has 3 exons.